This 223-nucleotide ribosomal RNA is filed under the name uncultured bacterium. Its description in RNAcentral is "partial 16S ribosomal RNA". It matches the Rfam family "Bacterial small subunit ribosomal RNA", at positions 116 to 334 of the family's 1533-position model. The record is from RNAcentral.
CGUAGGUAACCUGCCUGGUAGCGGGGGAUAACUAUUGGAAACGAUAGCUAAUACCGCAUAAUAUUAAUUAUUGCAUGAUAAUUAAUUGAAAGGUGCAAUUGCACCACUACCAGAUGGACCUGCGUUGUAUUAGCUAGUAGGUGAGGUAACGGCUCACCUAGGCGACGAUGCAUAGCCGACCUGAGAGGGUGAUCGGCCACACUGGGACUGAGACACGGCCCAG